GCAGUUCACAGUGAUAAGUAGGUCAACGUCAAAUUCAAGGUCACAGUAAGAUUGCCAAUAUAUGACUUUCAAUUCAAGUUAGUAUUUGGAACGAAUGUCACCUGUACAAAGUAAUGGAAAGCGGACUACAGUUGCUGGCGGACUUACAUUCCUGUUAAACCUGGACUAAAACCAUAAGCACCAACAGCGCUAUAUAACCGUCGGUUGAUUCCGCCCUCAUUUAACCAUCAAUGCUGUUGUGCACGGAGUUGUGCGUCAUGCCUUACCUCGUGAUUUGACGAAAGUGCAGUUUUAAAUGUAAUUUUGGCUAUCGAGUGAUUGAUUUAUCCUUUGGCAUGUCACCUUAGGUCAUAUAAGAACCUUGUGGAAGAAGUUUCUAUGUGGUUUAGAGUUGCCCAAGGCACAAAUGCUAAGCAUCAUCGAAGCGUCAACGAACUGCAGACAGUUUUUAAAGGUGAAAUGUUCUGGAUCCGCUCUCUAUGAGAAACUUCAGUCACGACAUAAUACCUACUGGAGUUCACGCGAUGGCGAGAGGAUGCUCUACUGGGGCGGAGGAGAUCCGAACGGAUGGGGCUGCGCAUGCGCUCUUGAUAAUUCAUGUGUUGGUGGGUUGGACUGCAACUGCAACGCAAACGACUUCGCCUGGAGAGAGGACGAGGGCUACGUCACGGACAGG
Molecule: long non-coding RNA, 676 nt
Organism: Lingula anatina
Lineage: Eukaryota; Metazoa; Brachiopoda; Lingulata; Lingulida; Lingulidae
Source: RefSeq, a predicted model, not a curated record